CUUAUCAUUUAGAGGAAGGAGAAGUCGUAACAAGGUUUCCGUAGGUGAACCUGCGGAAGGAUCAUUGUCGAGACCCGCAAAGCAGACCGCGAACACGUGUUUAACCAAAUCGGGCUAGCGGCGCGGGGGGAAGCCUCCCGUCGCGAUCCCAUCCCCGCCGGCGUGCGCGAGAGCGUUCCGUCGUGCGGGCUAACGAACCCCGGCGCGGUAUGCGCCAAGGAAAACAAAACGUAGCGUCCGCCUCCCGACGCCCCGUUCGCGGAGCGCGCGGGGGGACGGGACGUCUAUCUAAUGUCAAAACGACUCUCGGCAACGGAUAUCUCGGCUCUCGCAUCGAUGAAGAACGUAGCGAAAUGCGAUACUUGGUGUGAAUUGCAGAAUCCCGUGAACCAUCGAGUCUUUGAACGCAAGUUGCGCCCGAAGCCAUUAGGCCGAGGGCACGUCUGCCUGGGCGUCACGCAUCGCGUCGCCCCCCUCCAGCGCACGGCGCUCGCGAGGGGGGCGGAGAUUGGCCUCCCGUGCGCCUACGUCGCGCGCGGCCGGCCCAAAUGCGAUCCCUCGGCGACGCACGUCACGACCAGUGGUGGUUGAACAACGCUCAACUCUCGUGCUGUCGUGCGGCACCGCGUCGUCCGUUCGGGCAUCACCAACGACCCAAGGGCGCGUGCACCGCGCCUUCGACCGCGACCCCAGGUCAGGCGGGAUCACCCGCUGAGUUUAAGCAUAUCAAUAAGCGGAGGAA
RNAcentral lists this unclassified non-coding RNA (742 nucleotides) under Callicarpa longifolia. RNAcentral's name for it is "partial contains small subunit ribosomal RNA, internal transcribed spacer 1, 5.8S ribosomal RNA, internal transcribed spacer 2, and large subunit ribosomal RNA". The stretch from base 302 to 457 matches the Rfam family "5.8S ribosomal RNA". The record is from RNAcentral. Lineage: Eukaryota; Viridiplantae; Streptophyta; Magnoliopsida; Lamiales; Lamiaceae.